GUGGAUUAGAUACCCCAGUAGUCCACGCCCUAAACGAUGUCAACUAGGUGUUGGGGAAGGAGACUUCUUUAGUACCGCAGCUAACGCGUGAAGUUGACCGCCUGGGGAGUACGGUCGCAAGAUUAAAACUCAAAGGAAUUGACGGGGACCCGCACAAGCGGUGGAUUAUGUGGAUUAAUUCGAUGCAACGCGAAAAACCUUACCUACCCUUGACAUGUCAGGAAGUUUCCAGAGAUGGAUUCGUGCCCGAAAGGGAACCUGAACACAGGUGCUGCACGGUCGUCGCCAGCU
This 291-nucleotide ribosomal RNA is filed under the name uncultured bacterium. RNAcentral's name for it is "partial 16S ribosomal RNA". It matches the Rfam family "Bacterial small subunit ribosomal RNA", at positions 773 to 1060 of the family's 1533-position model. The record is from RNAcentral.